RNAcentral lists this ribosomal RNA (460 nucleotides) under uncultured bacterium. RNAcentral's name for it is "partial 16S ribosomal RNA". It matches the Rfam family "Bacterial small subunit ribosomal RNA", at positions 338 to 795 of the family's 1533-position model. The record is from RNAcentral.
CCUACGGGAGGCAGCAGUGAGGAAUAUUGGUCAAUGGACGCAAGUCUGAACCAGCCAUGCCGCGUGCAGGAAGACGGCUCUAUGAGUUGUAAACUGCUUUUGUGCGAGGGUAAACGCAGAUACGUGUAUCUGUCUGACAGUAUAGUACGAAUAAGGAUCGGCUAACGCCGUGCCAGCAGCCGCGGUAAUACGGAGGAUCCAAGCGUUAUCCGGAUUUAUUGGGUUUAACGGGUGCGUAGGCGGUCGGGUAAGUUAGAGGUGAAAGCCCGAGGCUCAACUUCGGAAUUGCCUCUGAUACUGUUCGGCUAGAGAAUAGUUGCGGUAGGCGGAAUGUAUGGUGUAGCGGUGAAAUGCUUAGAUAUCAGACAGAACACCGAUUGCGAAGGCAGCUUACCAAGCUACUUCUGACGUUGAGGCACGAAAGCGUGGGGAGCAAACAGGAUUAGAUACCCUUGUAGUC